This 496-nucleotide ribosomal RNA is filed under the name uncultured bacterium. Its description in RNAcentral is "bacterial SSU rRNA". It matches the Rfam family "Bacterial small subunit ribosomal RNA", at positions 9 to 508 of the family's 1533-position model. The record is from RNAcentral.
GAGUUUGAUCAUGGCUCAGGAUGAACGCUAGCGGCAGGCUUAACACAUGCAAGUCGAGGGGUAUUCUAGCAAUAGGAGAGACCGGCGCACGGGUGCGUAACGCGUAUGCAAUCUACCUUUCACAGAGGGAUAGCCCAGAGAAAUUUGGAUUAAUACCUCAUAGUAUAAUGACUCGGCAUCGAGAUAUUAUUAAAGUCACAACGGUGAAAGAUGAGCAUGCGUCCCAUUAGCUAGUUGGUAAGGUAACGGCUUACCAAGGCGACGAUGGGUAGGGGUCCUGAGAGGGAGAUCCCCCACACUGGUACUGAGACACGGACCAGACUCCUACGGGAGGCAGCAGUGAGGAAUAUUGGACAAUGGGCGCAAGCCUGAUCCAGCCAUGCCGCGUGCAGGAUGACGGUCCUAUGGAUUGUAAACUGCUUUUGCACAGGAAGAAACACCCCCUCGUGAGGGGGCUUGACGGUACUGUGAGAAUAAGGAUCGGCUAACUCCGUGC